Molecule: ribosomal RNA, 253 nt
Filed under: uncultured bacterium
Lineage: Bacteria
Description: partial 16S ribosomal RNA
Rfam family: Bacterial small subunit ribosomal RNA
Source: RNAcentral
GCCGAACCGUGCGAACGUUGUUCGGAAUCACUGGGCUUAAAGGGCGCGUAGGCGGGCAUUCAAGUCAGGGGUGAAAUCCUCCAGCUUAACUGGAGAACUGCCUUUGAUACUGGGUGCCUCGAGUGAGGUAGGGGCGUGCGGAACUGAUGGUGGAGCGGUGAAAUGUGUUGAUAUCAUCAGGAACUCCGGUGGCGAAAGCGGCGCGCUGGACCUUAACUGACGCUGAGGCGCGAAAGCGUGGGGAGCGAACAGG